GUAAGGAAUAUUGCGCAAUGGGCGAAAGCCUGACGCAGCAACGCCGCGUGCGGGAAGAAGGUCUUCGGAUCGUAAACCGCUUUUCUAGGGGAAGAGCAAGGACGGUACCCUAGGAAGAAGUCUCGGCUAACUACGUGCCAGCAGCCGCGGUAAAACGUAGGAGGCAAGCGUUAUCCGGAUUUACUGGGCGUAAAGCGCGUGUAGGCGGUUGGGCAAGUCGUGCGUGAAAGCUCCCGGCUUAACUGGGAGAGGUCGUGCGAAACUGCCGAACUUGAGGAAGAUAGAGGCAAGCAGAAUUCCGGGUGUAGUGGUGAAAUGCGUAGAUAUCCGGAGGAAUACCAGUGGCGAAAGCGGCUUGCUGGCUCUUCACUGACGCUCAGACGCGAAAGCAUGGGGAGCGAACGGGAUUAGAAACCCGGGUAGUCC
Molecule: ribosomal RNA, 426 nt
Filed under: uncultured bacterium
Lineage: Bacteria
Description: bacterial SSU rRNA
Rfam family: Bacterial small subunit ribosomal RNA
Source: RNAcentral